This 253-nucleotide ribosomal RNA is filed under the name uncultured bacterium. RNAcentral describes it as "partial 16S ribosomal RNA". It matches the Rfam family "Bacterial small subunit ribosomal RNA", at positions 524 to 776 of the family's 1533-position model. The record is from RNAcentral.
UACGAAGGGGGCUAGCGUUGUUCGGAAUUACUGGGCGUAAAGCGCACGUAGGCGGAUACUUAAGUCAGGGGUGAAAUCCCAGAGCCCAACUCUGGAACUGCCUUUGAUACUGGGUAUCUUGAGGAUGGCAGAGGCAAGUGGAAUUCCGAGUGUAGAGGUGAAAUUCGUAGAUAUUCGGAGGAACACCAGUGGCGAAGGCGACUUGCUGGUCCAUUUCUGACGCUGAGGUGCGAAAGCGUGGGGAGCAAACAGG